ACACCUGUAAUCCCAGCACUUUGGGAGGCCAAGGCAGGUGAAUCACCUGAGGUCAGGAGUUCAAGACCAGCCUGACCAACAUAUCUACUAAAAAUGUUAAAAAUUAGCCAGGCAUGUUGGCUGGUGCCUGUAAUCCCAGCUACUUGGGAGCCUGAAGCAGGAGAAUCGCUUGAAUCUGGGAGGCAGAGGCUGCAGUGAGCCCAGAUCACAGCACUGUACUCUAGCCUGGGCGACAGAGUGAGACUCUGCCUCGACAACAACAACAACAAUAUUAAAAAAACCUGAACUAGUUAUUUCCUACUCGCCUCCUGGAAUGGCUAAUAAAAUAAACACUAAAGCCUUGCAGUCCCCAAAAAGACCAUGAAGCCCUGAGAGUAAUGGAAAGGUUCCUGAAAUUGAGGUCACUGUGGAAGCCUCAGCCGAGAUGUCUCACCCCACUCUCUCUGAUGCAACAAGACGCCCCUGGGGAACGUUUCAGUCCCACUCUGUACUUCUGUCACAUGCUCAUCACAGUCUGAGCCACCUAAGCUGAAGAUUCCCUUGAGAACAAGGGCUAGCCUGUGAUUUCAUGACCUUUCUUCCAUUUGUGGUUCUUGCCAAGUGGAAUUUAAAUGACCUUUUAUCAAGAUGGAUAAACCCAAGUUUCCCAGUGCCAGAAUAUAGAAAAUGGAUGGAUAAGUAAGUCCCACUCAGCACCCAUAGCCCAGACAUGGGGACCUGAACACACCUGGGUCCCAGACAUCACCUUUCAUUGUGAGUAGCUCAGAGAUGACAUUCUUGGUUGUUAAGUACCCACUGGCAAUAGUUUAUAUAACAGCAAGUGAAGGAAUAAAUAGUCACCAAAACAUUUUCUGUUCCCAAUUCCAGCAUUAAUUGGAUUAGAUAGUUAUCUUAAGAAGAAUUUUCAUAUACCACAGU
Long non-coding RNA from Gorilla gorilla gorilla (western lowland gorilla), 918 nucleotides. RefSeq lists it as uncharacterized. The record is from RefSeq and is a predicted model, not a curated record. NCBI's taxonomy places the organism in Eukaryota, Metazoa, Chordata, Mammalia, Primates, Hominidae. The transcript is spliced from 5 exons.